RNAcentral lists this non-coding RNA (97 nucleotides) under bovine gut metagenome. RNAcentral describes it as "TPP riboswitch (THI element)". The stretch from base 6 to 91 matches the Rfam family "TPP riboswitch aptamer (THI element)", at positions 11 to 88 of the family's 105-position model. From Rfam's summary of the family: Vitamin B(1) in its active form thiamin pyrophosphate (TPP) is an essential coenzyme that is synthesised by coupling of pyrimidine and thiazole moieties in bacteria. The record is from RNAcentral.
GCACAAGGGGAGCUGGAUGCAGUCCGGCUGAGAGGUGGCGCGUAUACGCCACGACCCGAAGAACCUGAUCCGGGUAAUGCCGGCGUAGGGAGUCGCA